Molecule: non-coding RNA, 221 nt
Filed under: Peribacillus simplex
Lineage: Bacteria; Bacillati; Bacillota; Bacilli; Caryophanales; Bacillaceae
Description: Bacillus simplex T-box
Rfam family: T-box leader
About the family: Uncharged tRNA acts as the effector for transcription antitermination of genes in the T-box leader family. T-boxes are found upstream of many aminoacyl-tRNA synthetase genes and some amino acid biosynthetic genes usually in Gram-positive bacteria.
Source: RNAcentral
UUAGAAGCAUUGAUAAGGACAUGAAUCAUUUUUACGGUCUGCAGAGAGGGAAGGGCAGCUGCGAACUUCCUGGCUUAGGAAACUGAUUUACCGCCUUUGAGCCAUAUCGGUGAACAAGAGUAACUGAUAUCGUCUAAGCUGCGUUACAGCUCCAGAGCCAUGAGUGUUUUUUGCUUAUGGGAAAUUGGGUGGAAUCACGGGUAAACGCACUCGUCCCUUAC